Molecule: ribosomal RNA, 253 nt
Filed under: uncultured bacterium
Lineage: Bacteria
Description: partial 16S ribosomal RNA
Rfam family: Bacterial small subunit ribosomal RNA
Source: RNAcentral
UACGGGGGGGGCAAGCGUUGUUCGGAAUUACUGGGCGUAAAGGGCUCGUAGGCGGCCAACUAAGUCGGACGUGAAAUCCCUAGGCUUAACCGGGGAACUGCGUCCGAUACUGGAUGGCUAGAGUUCGGGAGAGGGAUGCGGAAUUCCAGGUGUAGCGGUGAAAUGCGUAGAUAUCUGGAGGAACACCGGUGGCGAAGGCGGCAUCCUGGACCGACACUGACGCUGAGGAGCGAAAGCCAGGGGAGCAAACGGG